AGUUAAUAAGCUAAUAAGCAUUUGUUUUGAAAACAUAUAUUAGAAGUUUAAAUCUUCUAUUAACUU
RNAcentral lists this transfer RNA (66 nucleotides) under Yunnantettix bannaensis. RNAcentral describes it as "tRNA-Ser". It matches the Rfam family "tRNA". Rfam says of the family: Transfer RNA (tRNA) molecules are approximately 80 nucleotides in length. Their secondary structure includes four short double-helical elements and three loops (D, anti-codon, and T loops). Further hydrogen bonds mediate the characteristic L-shaped molecular structure. tRNAs have two regions of fundamental functional importance: the anti-codon, which is responsible for specific mRNA codon recognition, and the 3' end, to which the tRNAs corresponding amino acid is attached (by aminoacyl-tRNA synthetases). tRNAs cope with the degeneracy of the genetic code in two manners: having more than one tRNA (with a specific anti-codon) for a particular amino acid; and 'wobble' base-pairing, i.e. permitting non-standard base-pairing at the 3rd anti-codon position. Lineage: Eukaryota; Metazoa; Arthropoda; Insecta; Orthoptera; Tetrigidae. The record is from RNAcentral.